ACUUCUCGGUUUUUGUUCGCUUUCUAACCUUUCCUUUGGAUAAAUAGAAGUGCGGUGGCGACUCGAAUUGUAUGAUUUACUUUUGAUUUAGUCAAUAAAUCUAAAGGUAACUAUAAAACUUCUCGGUUUUUGUUCGCUUUCUAACCUUUCCUUUGGAUAAAUAGAAGUGCGGUGGCGACUCGAAUUGUAUGAUUUACUUUUGAUUUAGUCAAUAAAUCUAAAGGUAACGAAUACCCCACUUCAAAAAAGUGGCGACUCUGCUGGGAAGUAGAUGUUGCUUCCUAGUGGGUUUAGCCUACUUUUUGCCUUUGUUGUAUUGUAUGUUUAUAUUAUUUGUGACAUACUUUUGUGCAAAUUUGGUAUGAAUGUAUUGUUUGUA
Molecule: long non-coding RNA, 379 nt
Filed under: Lathyrus oleraceus (garden pea)
Lineage: Eukaryota; Viridiplantae; Streptophyta; Magnoliopsida; Fabales; Fabaceae
Description: Pisum sativum (pea) long non-coding RNA (PSAT_LNC001463)
Source: RNAcentral